CCGGUACUCCCUCCGUUCGGAAUUACUCGUCCAAGAAAUGAAUGUAUCUAGAUGUAUUUUAGUUGUAGAUACACCCAUCUUUGUGACAAGUAUUUCCGAACGGAGGGAGUAUAUC
This is a non-coding RNA of Triticum aestivum (bread wheat), 115 nucleotides long. The record is from Rfam. Lineage: Eukaryota; Viridiplantae; Streptophyta; Magnoliopsida; Poales; Poaceae.